AGCCUGAACGCUGGCGGCGUGGCUAAGACAUGCAAGUCGAACGGGUGUAGCAAUACACCAGUGGCGGACGGGUGAGUAAUGAAUCGCUAAUGUACCCCGGAGCCAGAGAUAGCUGCCCGAAAGGGCAGGUAAUACCUGAUGAGACCACAGUACCGCAUGGUACGGUGCUCAAAGCCGCAAGGCACUCUGGGAGCAGGCGAUUUUGUAUCAGCUAGUUGGUGAGGUAAUGGCUCACCAAGGCGACGACGCAUAGCCGGACUGAGAGGUUGGCCGGCCACAUUGGGACUGAGACACUGCCCAGACUCCUACGGGGGGCUGCAGUAACGAAUCUUCCGCAAUGCACGAAAGUGUGACGGAGCGACGCCGCGUGUAGGACGAAGCCCUUCGGGGUGUAAACUACUGUCAGGGGAAAGAAGUUCUGAUCUACCCAGAGGAAGAGACGGCUAACUCUGCGCCAGCAGCCGCGGU
Molecule: ribosomal RNA, 468 nt
Filed under: uncultured bacterium
Lineage: Bacteria
Description: SSU rRNA
Rfam family: Bacterial small subunit ribosomal RNA
Source: RNAcentral